Molecule: long non-coding RNA, 2043 nt
Filed under: Paramuricea clavata
Lineage: Eukaryota; Metazoa; Cnidaria; Anthozoa; Malacalcyonacea; Plexauridae
Source: RNAcentral
CUCUUCAACACAGUACAUUGGCGAUGAAAUAUACUCAUAAAGAUUUCACAUUAAACAAUUGACACAAAAGUUUACAUCAAAACACGUAUAACCCACACACCAUAUAUAAUUGAUGACAUGAAAACCGAGAAACAAGAAAGCCUCGUGAUGGUCACCUUCUGUUAUUACAGACCACGUGCUUCUCAUGUGUUCUUUCAAAAACUAGGUAACAAUUUAGCACUUUUUUCAAAUUGAUUCGUCCAACUAAAAUUUUAAUAUUAUUACACUUAUCUAUUUGGAAAGGUUGCAGAAUCCAAUUGCAUGAAAUUCAUCGUUCUUUUCAUGUUUUGCCACAACGUAUAUUCAUUGGCCACGUUUUCGGCAAAUGCAUAAAUGUGAUCGAAUACAGUCAUUUACAGUUCUUUCGAAAUUCAAAAAUACAGAAAUCGUGUUUCUCUUACCACGGCUUAUGGAUCUGUGACCACGCCAUGUCUGGCAUGCAACCAAGAAUUAUAAUAUGAAUACUGCCAACGAGCAUGCAUGGCAUGUAGACACCUUCAAUAACAUGCAACGAUAUGAAGAAACUUUUGUUGAUGUAGGGAUGCAACUAACUGAAAAAUAUAAGACGAAGGGGCUUCACUCGACUAAACGUGGAAAUUCUCCUUAUAUUUGACAUGAAGAUGAUAUGAACAAAAUGUUAUUAAACUAUUAUGUUAUUACGAACAGCAUAACGCGACAGAAAUCGUUCAUGCUUCAUUAUAAAUAAAAUGCUAUGUACCAAUAUUUUGAAAUGUUCAUUAUUUGAUCAACAAUCUUGCAUUUACAUCGUAUAUGGAAUUUUCGCUUGAACGGAGUACACAUUGCGUUGUUGGUCCACCGCAAAUGAAUGUAUCGUAUUUUAUUACAUCAUCUUAAUAUGAAUAUACAUUAUUACUUGUAUGUUGGAACAUAGCCUAUAGAAGGGAAGAUGGCUGUGAAACUCAUUAGAAUAACAAUAUAACUCAUGAUGUGGUUGGAAGGAUUGUGUAAAAUCCAAUCUAAGAAAGCUUUAUAGCAUUUUACACUUUCACGUAUGUCGAUGGACUUUCCGAUUAAUACACGGUUCACAUCAUUCCAUUACCUUCAGAAUGCAGAUUUCGCUAUCAAUUGAUUUCUCAUACGGUAUAGUGCAGGAUCAUUCUGUGGCCAGUAGAAUGAUCUACAUGCGUAUUUUCAUAUGUAAGUGUAUCUUUUUAAUUCAAUAUCUACUAUUUUGUUGAUGUAUAUAUAUAACUUACAUAUCCAAACUUAGACAACUUACAUGUCAAAAAUUAGACCUGUAUUAGAGCACGCAUCGCCUGUUUGGGCAAGAAUUCCAGAAUAUUUACAACAAGAAAUUGAACGUGUACAGACAAGGGAGCCUGAAAAUUCUUGACCUGGACCGAGACUGCCUGCCUUCUUUAAGAAGCAGGCGUAAAUUAGCAACCAUCCGAAAAAUCUGAAGGAUUCAAGCGGAACCAACCCCACCCUUGCUGUACCUGAACUGCCUGAUCCUAGAGAAUACCCGUAUGAACUUAGACAAAAUCAUCCUUACAUAGUUUUAUCUAGAACCGAGAAGCAUAAGCAUUGUAUAGCAUAACAUUAUAUAUCCAAAAAGGUAGCCAAAGGCCUGGGAAUCAGUGGCGUGCUGGCAGGGGGGGCCGGGGGGCCACGGCCCCCCCCCCAGCUGGCAAUUCUUGGGGGGCGCAAAAAUGAAAAUGGGGCGCCGAAUUUUGAAAGUGGGUGGGAAAAAACACAUUCUCGAAAAAAUAUGGUUACUUCCGCCAAGAAAAGACGUGUUUAUAGGCUACGGUAUAAAUCAGACUAAGCGCAUAGACGACAUAUAUUAAACUACAGACUAUUUUGCCUAACCGUAUUUGCUACCUCACAGCUCACACGAAAUCGUUCAUAUAAAAACAUGAUCAGUGAUCACAGGCAAUGUCUCAUUACCGGAAUAUUGGUCAGGUUUCGAUCGAAGCGAUCACGGGAAUUGUGCCCUUUUUUCUGGUAUUAUGCCCUUAUAAUAUGCCCUUUAUUAUGCUUCAC